UACGUAGGGCGCAAGCGUUAUCCGGAAUUAUUGGGCGUAAAGAGUUCGUAGGCGGUUUGUCGCGUCUGCUGUGAAAGUCCGGGGCUCAACUCCGGAUCUGCGGUGGGUACGGGCAGACUAGAGUGAUGUAGGGGAGACUGGAAUUCCUGGUGUAGCGGUGAAAUGCGCAGAUAUCAGGAGGAACACCGAUGGCGAAGGCAGGUCUCUGGGCAUUAACUGACGCUGAGGAGCGAAAGCAUGGGGAGCGAACAGG
This 253-nucleotide ribosomal RNA is filed under the name uncultured bacterium. RNAcentral describes it as "partial 16S ribosomal RNA". It matches the Rfam family "Bacterial small subunit ribosomal RNA", at positions 524 to 776 of the family's 1533-position model. The record is from RNAcentral.